UACAGGUGGAGAAACUGAGGCUCAGAUAAAUGACUAAGAAGUAAAGUGAGGUCCCAUAGCCAGUGAAUGGCAGAGCAGGGAUUCGAACCCAGGUCUCUCAUCUGGGAAGUGGGAUGAUAGCGCCAACCUAGCUGGAUUGCUGUGACUGCCAGCACAAUGCCUUCUAAGGGUUCAAGAUGAGAUUACUUAGUCCCAGAUGGGUUAAGUAACUGGCCCAAGGUCACAGCGCUGGUAAGCAACUGGGCUUCAAUCCAACCAUCCUGACUCCAGAAGCCUCUUUGAACUACCACCUUCUGCACCUGCCCCAGGGCUUCUUCGCCUGAGCCGGUGCCUUGCUGCCGCCCUGCUCAUCUCUUCUGGGAAGAUGCCUCUCAUCUUGCCAGUCCUCAAGCCAGAAGCCUCCGGUGCUGCCCUAGGGCUCCCUGAAUAGGCAUCCCUAAGGCAUCCCUCCUGGUGUUCAAACCACAUCCUUCCUGGCUAAGCUUCCAUUCCCCAGGGUAGCCCUCCACACUUUGGAGCCUCAGCUCACCUCUCACUCUCACACUUCAGUUUCACACUUCCCUUCUGAAUGGUCCCACCUCUGUGCUUUUGCUUAAGCUGUGCACACUUCCCAGAGUGCUCUUUCCCCUAUGUCUGCCUGUGCUCCAAUACCCUAUGCCUGAGCUGAC
RNAcentral lists this long non-coding RNA (668 nucleotides) under Homo sapiens (human). RNAcentral describes it as "non-protein coding lnc-DAGLA-1:4". Lineage: Eukaryota; Metazoa; Chordata; Mammalia; Primates; Hominidae. The record is from RNAcentral.